RNAcentral lists this ribosomal RNA (443 nucleotides) under uncultured bacterium. RNAcentral describes it as "partial 16S ribosomal RNA". It matches the Rfam family "Bacterial small subunit ribosomal RNA", at positions 338 to 795 of the family's 1533-position model. The record is from RNAcentral.
CCUACGGGAGGCAGCAGUGGGGACUAUUGGGCAAUGGAGGAAACUCUGACCCAGCAACGCCGCGUGAAUGAUGAAGGUCUUCGGAUUGUAAAGUUCUUUUCUAAGGGAAGAAGAAAGUGACGGUACCUUAGGAAUAAGCCUCGGCUAACUACGUGCCAGCAGCCGCGGUAAUACGUAGGAGGCAAGCGUUAUCCGGCAUGUCUGGGCGUAAAGGGUGCGUAGGUGGUUUGACAAGUUGGUAGCGUAACUCCGAGGCUUAACCUCGGCACUACUACCAAAACUGUUGGACUCGAGUGCAGGAGGGGCAAAUGGAAUUCCUAGUGUAGCGGUUGAAUGCGUAGAUAUUAGGAGGAACACCAGUGGCGAAGGCGAUUUGCUGGACUGUAACUGACACUGAGGCACGAAAGCGUGGGGAGCAAACAGGAUUAGAUACCCCAGUAGUC